This 4009-nucleotide long non-coding RNA is filed under the name Homo sapiens (human). RNAcentral's name for it is "HSALNT0162211". The record is from RNAcentral. Lineage: Eukaryota; Metazoa; Chordata; Mammalia; Primates; Hominidae.
GUUAGGUGGUAAAAGCAGUGUUUGCCAUAAAAAUCAGGUCGUUGGUUAUUUUGGUGGGGAGGGAGAGGUAGUGUUUGGAAGGGGACACAAGGGAAGGUUUUGGGACGCAUGGUAUACCGGUUGUCAAUGUAUGGCCUCGCACCUCCAAAUCCAUCCUUUAAUACCUGCUCUGUGGGCACAGCCAGAAUCCCCUUCCGCGGCUCCCCUCGCGGCAGGGAGGAUGCUGAACAGUAGAGGGCGCUGGAGACACGCUGCGGGAGGCUGUCGCUCGGGUCCGGCUGCGGGCCACAGGCCGCGGAUCGCGCUCUGCCAGCGCCCCACGCCCGCAAGCGCGGCCCCUCCGCCACCUCGCGGCCCGGCCUGACCUGUUAAUCACGUCCCCACGGCUCUCCUAGCGGGGACACCGCCGUCUGCAGGCUCCGUCCCCACAGUGCCCAGACCCCGGGAAGUUUGUCAGUCAGCACCCUGAUGCCAGCCGAUUCUCAAAAAGCCAGGAGGAUCCAAGCAGAUGAUUUGCCAGACGGUACUGCAGCAAUGGAGAUGAACAGAUAAUUCACACAGAAAGAAGGACGAGGGAUUGGAUCAAGCUGGGGCGAGAUAGAGUGGGGAAGUGAUGAGCUAAGAAAAAUUAGCCUGCAAGCAUGACGUGUCGCACGUCAGCAAGGCUGCAGCCUUGGAUUCUGAUGUCUUGAGAAGAGCGAUUCACCUGUGAAUUCUCACAGCCCUGGCCUCAGAAAGACGGCCCGGGACCAGGCCCGAUGGCACCCCUCUUCCCAGCUCUCAGCCAGGGCGGAAGGCACAAGUGAUGGCCCUGGCCUCCGCAGUCACACUCCUCCUGAAAGCUGACUGGCUGAACCUCACCUCUUGGCUAGCUUGCCACCCAGCUCUUGAGAACAUGUUUGUCCAAGGCCUCUUGGCAGGUCUCGAUGACUCCUUCCCCUAAGGGCCCCCAGUCACCUGCUAAGGCUCCCAGGCCCCUGUGAAACUGGCUCGGUGCCCCAAUAGACUCUCCACCUCCAGACCCUAAGCCGGCCAGCCCAGAGUGCAGCAAGGCACCACACCUACCCUGUGAGGGCACUCGGGCCCCGCGCUGGCCUCUGACAGCACAGGAAGCUUCUGCAUUCACGCUGAGGCCUGUCUUUUGCCUUCCUUAGAUAAACUUGCCAGAAACCCCAUAGUGCUUCAGGCCUUUGGGAUAAUUCCCCUGAGCCCCAUAGGCCAGGGCCUGGCAUUCAGUAGUUGCUCUAAAAUUGUGUUUUCACCCACUCUCUUCCAGGUAGUCAGGACAGGGAAGCCCAGGCUUCUGGUCACCACUCACCAAAUCUCUCCCCUGCCCCUCUAUCAGGGAUCAGCUCCUAUAGGCCUUAACCUAGCAGACUAGGUAAAGCAGAGCUGGUGGCAUCAAGGGUCCCGGGGGCUGCAGAGCCCUGGCUGGUACAGGAGGCUGGGCUCUCCUGUAGGUCUGCACCUUCCCAGCAACGCGGAGGGCACCAGACCCUGCCUGCUCCAGAGGCUGUACCUGAAAGAUGAAGUGCUCGUCAAACUGCGGGUUGGAGGUUUUGCGUUUGGUCUUGGAUUGGAGGAAGCGCCGCUCAUCGGGCAGCAGGUAGAGCUUCACCAGGGGCCGCUCAGCCUCCUGCUCAUAUUCCACCGAGAACCACAGCCGCCCCAGGCAGCCGUCGGGGAAGUCGGUCUCACUUUUGUCCUCCGGGAACUUGUACAGCUCUGGGUUGAUGGCCCCCACCAUACAUGCAUCUCCUAUGACAGAGGGUGGGAGGGCUGGCAGGCCAGAGGAAGGCAGGGGCAUGGGAGACAGUGGCAAGCUCUGGGCACCCAUCCCCAUCCUGGCCCAUCCGUCUCUGCUGAGCCUCAGCUAGCCUGACCACAUCUGCCCCACUCUCCUCACCAGGCUAAACACAUCCCCUCUCUCUGGUGCAGCUCCUCCAAGAAGCCUUCUCACCAUGAAGGCAUUGCAUGGCCAGGCUGGGGAUCCAGCAGAGUCCUGCCCCCUGGGAUUGGCCCCCAUCCUUGGAGGUCAGGACCUGUUUCAAGGACACAGUGCCCAUCACCUGGCCUAGCCCCCUUCCAUGGCGUCUAGGGAAUGACUCAGCGAUAAAACAUUGCCUUUCUUCUUCCUCUUCAAAUUAGAAGGGCCAAGGUGAUUAUUGGGUGGUUCCUGUGAUGGUCUCUUGGUAGAUCUUCAGGGCAAAGAGGUGGCAGAAAGCUGUGUUUGCAGCCCCUACCAUUCUGUCCUCUUGGUCAACCAACCCAUCAUCCUAGAGUGGGACCCAGCACAAGUUCUGUACAUGGCGUGCCUGGGUUCCAAUUCCAAUCUGUUGCUUACAGCCUCAGUUAAGACUAUGUAAAAUGGGGUGAUAAUUCCUCCCCCUCAGAGUCAUGGUGAGGUCUCACUCCAAAUCAGCACCCAAGGCCAUAUCUUACCCUCAUGGGGUGCAGCAAGCACUUCAUAAAUGAAAGCACCCAGAAAGAGUGGUCCCUGGGUGGUCCCUGGCAUCCCUGGCUGGUUCAGGUUGUGUUCCGGAGCCAAGCUGGUGAAAGCAGAUGGGGCCACCCGAGCAGACCCUGACCUCUGGGCAGCCCUGGCAAGGACACUCACCAAGGCCGCCGCUGGAGGUGUGAGGCAGCAGCUCUGAUGCCGGGCAGGGGUCCCAUGGGGCAUCGGCCCACUCUCCACUGUGCAGGGGCACCCAAUCUCGGCCUUGAAGGGUUGGGGGCACCACGAAUGGCACAGCUGGUGGCCUGUCCAGAGUCAGGGAGACAACAUGUAGGUGGCAAGUCAAUGGUGUGGUCUCAGAGCGCUCAGCCAGGACGGUUGAGCACCAGGGGCUGGAGGAAGAAAAGCCAUCGGGAGCCAGGAGGAGGCCAGGGCACCAUUUUCUGGGCCCAUACCAGGCAACACACACACACACACACGCACACACACACACACACACACACACACACACACACACAGCAGUGGGAUUUGAAGAAGGAACACAGCACCUGACAGUGUCAGCCAGUCUGGGUUUGGAUUCCUGUUCUGCCACUUGCCACUUCACCCAGUAACUGUCCUCAGCUGUGCGCUUAACUGGCGAGAUCUCCGCUCUACUUGGAGACAGUCUGGGGUGUCUGGAGAAUCCUCCCCCACUUCUGCUUACCCCAGGUCGCUGUGGGAGCAGGUGUCUCAGGAAAUGGGGCCUGGGUCCCACCCAAGGCCUCGGGUCUGAGUUAGAUGUCUGUAUGUUUGUUGUUGCCCCUGCAACAAAGUACCACAGAUUGAGUAGUUUAAGCCACAUGCAUGUUAUCUCACAGUUCGGGGGGUCGGGAAUCUAAACUGGGUUGGCAGGGCCUGUGCCUUCUGGAGGCAAGGGAGCUGUUUCCCAGCGUUUCCAGCUCCUAGAGGCUGCUAGCUAGUGGCCCUUUCCUUUGUCUUCAAAGCCGGCAGCACAGCCUUUUCUAACCUCUCCCACUCCAGGUCAUUUCACAUCAACUCUUUCUGCCUCCCUCUUGUAAGUGUGAUACCCUACCUUGUUUUAACCUGAAUUGACUGUCCCUUAGCUGAGAGAGCCAGACACACUCCAUUUUGGCUCCUUCACUUGCAGCCCCUUACCCACCCCCCUUCCUCAAGGACUUAACUUGUGCAAGCUGACUCCCAGCACAUCAAAGAAUGCAAUUAAUGGAUAAGAUACUGUGGCAAGCUAUAUCCGCAGUUCCCAGGAAUUUGCCCAGUUGAUAGUACCCUAAGCCCCCACAUUUGUGUCCGGUUGAUGGUACCCAAAGCCCCCGCAUCUAUCGCCUUGUGAUGGAUUUAAAACCCCUGCACCUGGAACUGUUUGUUUUCCUGUAACCAUUUGUCUUUUAACUUUUUGCCUGUUUUGCUUCUGUAAGAGUGCUUCAGCUAGGCUCCUCCUCCCCUUUCUAAACCAAAGUAUAAAAGAAAAUCUAGCCCUUUCUUCAGGGCCGAGAGAAUUUUGAGCACUAGCCGUCUCUCGGUUGCCGGCUAAUAAAG